Molecule: long non-coding RNA, 1724 nt
Filed under: Triticum aestivum (bread wheat)
Lineage: Eukaryota; Viridiplantae; Streptophyta; Magnoliopsida; Poales; Poaceae
Description: long non-coding RNA (TAES_LNC014518)
Source: RNAcentral
UGGAUUUACAUGAUGGGCAAGUAGCCUUGGUCUCCUGCCUCUUCCAUUUUCAUAUGGUAUAUAUAGUUCUAAAUUCAGUUUAACAUGAAUCUUGAUAAUACUUUGUUGAAGUCGAAGUAGGAAUUAGGGCCAGGUAGAAUUAAAUUGCAACUAUUAGCGUAAUUAGCAUUGAUACCUCUGUCAGAGGUAUUCUAAGGAUUUGGCAUCAAGCACUAAUUAUGAAGAUUCAGUUUUCAUUGUGCCCACUUGACGUUGUCAGCGAUAUCCUUUAUGCCUUACAAUCCAUGUUGUUGUAUUCUUUCUUACCACAUCCAUUGUGUUGUUUUGUUAUGCUAAAUUAACCACAGGAUCGGGAGUAUGCUAUCAGCAAGAUCCUUUAUGCCUUAUAAUUCAGGUUGUUGUAUUCUUUCCUACCACGUCCAUUGUGUUCUUCUGUUAUGCUAAAUUAACCACUAGAUCAGGGGGACAGCCACCCAGUAACUCUUCCUUAUCUUCCCUCUCCUCUCUUAAACUUUCUAUGGUUCUUGGUUUGAUUCUCAAAGAGCUCGAACUCGUCUUGAGUUUUUGAUUAUGACCUUCCCUAUUUUGUUGCUACAGAUUACUGUACUAAUGUCUUGUGUAGCAAAUAUUUACUAAGAUGGGAUAAUAGGUAUACUAGUUUUCUAAUUCACGACUUCAUGUGAUUUCUUCCUGGUCUAUGUCAAGUCAAGUUAUUUUUGUUCUGAAUAAUUUACUAACACAGUGCAGGUUCAUGUGCAUAGCAAGUGUUAAAAAAGUCUCAAUUAUCUGCAUGGUAUAUCUAUUCAUUAUCUUUUCCAGAAUGAAGUGAGGUAUGGUCCGGAUCAAUGAACUCGAGAGGCGGCAGUGGAUCCCUAGGUUUUUUGGUUUCUGAAAGAGAAAUUUGUUUUGGCUUUUUUCUACACGCAUACCGUCAAUAAUGGAGAAUCAUGUGCAGGAAGUGAGAUUUGAGAAGCACUAGGGUGCGACAGUGGAGGAAGUAAAAUAUAUGUCGGAGACGGCCAUGAUGGCAUGAAUAUGAACCGUCCGGUUCUGAGGGGCAUCGAGAACAUCAUCAGAGCCCCUCAACAGCACCUGGUUCUGAGCAAGAGGGGGCUGGUCAGCAUGUUUGUGACAUGUUCUUCCAUGUAGUUAACUACUAUUCAAACCUUGGUUUUCUGGAAAGUCAAUGCAUUUUUAAUAGUAACUGAUUUGUGAUUCUUCCAUGUUUUUGGCUUAGGUGCAUAUUUUCACAUGACUCAUGCGCGGAGCCAGCGGGUCUGAGGAUUGAGCUCGUGCCCAAGCAGUAGAGCGAGGGAUACUUAUGAAACAUAUAUGUUGUGCCAAUGCAUCGUUAGGUGAACAUCUUUCUAUUUCACAGGUGAUUUACUUUCUUGACUUGGUGUGGCAUCUGUAAUUGCACAAGUGUGUUGGGUCAUAUUGAAAUAGUGUGGAUAGAUCAAUUUUGUUUAUUCAGAUCUGUCAUAAAUUGUCAUAUUGAAAGUUAGGAGGCUCACUCGUGUAGUUUUAAAAUAGCAAGUAGGUCUCCUUGGUAUACUCAAUACCCGACAGUGUUUGCAAUGCAAUAGUUGGUCAAAUACUGGACCUGGAUGUUAUACUCAUGUAGGAGUUUACGUCUAUUGCUACCUCUUGAGCAUUGUGUUGGUUUUCCCUUGAAGAGGAAAGGGUGAUGCAGCAAAGUACCAUAAAGUAUUUCCUCAGUUUUG